UCCCUGGUGGUCCAGUGGUUAGGACACUGUGUUCACAAUGCAGGGAGCUUGGGUUCGAUCCCUGGUUGGGGAA
RNAcentral lists this transfer RNA (73 nucleotides) under Ovis aries (sheep). It matches the Rfam family "tRNA". Rfam says of the family: Transfer RNA (tRNA) molecules are approximately 80 nucleotides in length. Their secondary structure includes four short double-helical elements and three loops (D, anti-codon, and T loops). Further hydrogen bonds mediate the characteristic L-shaped molecular structure. tRNAs have two regions of fundamental functional importance: the anti-codon, which is responsible for specific mRNA codon recognition, and the 3' end, to which the tRNAs corresponding amino acid is attached (by aminoacyl-tRNA synthetases). tRNAs cope with the degeneracy of the genetic code in two manners: having more than one tRNA (with a specific anti-codon) for a particular amino acid; and 'wobble' base-pairing, i.e. permitting non-standard base-pairing at the 3rd anti-codon position. The record is from Rfam by way of RNAcentral. Lineage: Eukaryota; Metazoa; Chordata; Mammalia; Artiodactyla; Bovidae.